CGGGUGAGUAACGCGUGAGGAACCUGCCUCAAAGAGGGGGACAACAGUUGGAAACGACUGCUAAUACCGCAUAAGCCCACGGCUCAGCAUCGAGCAGAGGGAAAAGGAGCAAUCCGCUUUGAGAUGGCCUCGCGUCCGAUUAGCUAGUUGGUGAGGUAACGGCCCACCAAGGCGACGAUCGGUAGCCGGACUGAGAGGUUGAACGGCCACAUUGGGACUGAGACACGGCCCAG
RNAcentral lists this ribosomal RNA (233 nucleotides) under uncultured bacterium. RNAcentral describes it as "partial 16S ribosomal RNA". It matches the Rfam family "Bacterial small subunit ribosomal RNA", at positions 103 to 334 of the family's 1533-position model. The record is from RNAcentral.